GACGAACGCUGGCGGCGUGCUUAACACAUGCAAGUCGAACGGAAAGGCCCUGCUUUUGUGGGGUGCUCGAGUGGCGAACGGGUGAGUAACACGUGAGUAACCUGCCCUUGACUUUGGGAUAACUUCAGGAAACUGGGGCUAAUACCGGAUAGGAGCUCCUGCUGCAUGGUGGGGGUUGGAAAGUUUCGGCGGUUGGGGAUGGACUCGCGGCUUAUCAGCUUGUUGGUGGGGUAGUGGCUUACCAAGGCUUUGACGGGUAGCCGGCCUGAGAGGGUGACCGGCCACAUUGGGACUGAGAUACGGCCCAGACUCCUACGGGAGGCAGCAGUGGGGAAUAUUGCACAAUGGGCGGAAGCCUGAUGCAGCAACGCCGCGUGCGGGAUGACGGCCUUCGUGUUGUAAACCACUUUCGCCUGUGACGAAGCGUGAGUGACGGUAAUGGGUAAAGAAGCACCGGCUAACUACGUG
This 468-nucleotide ribosomal RNA is filed under the name uncultured bacterium. RNAcentral describes it as "partial 16S ribosomal RNA". It matches the Rfam family "Bacterial small subunit ribosomal RNA", at positions 28 to 507 of the family's 1533-position model. The record is from RNAcentral.